CUUAACACAUGCAAGUCGAGGGGCAGCAUGGUCUUAGCUUGCUAAGGCCGAUGGCGACCGGCGCACGGGUGAGUAACACGUAUCCAACCUGCCGUCUACUCUUGGACAGCCUUCUGAAAGGAAGAUUAAUACAAGAUGGCAUCAUGAGUCCGCAUGUUCACAUGAUUAAAGGUAUUCCGGUAGACGAUGGGGAUGCGUUCCAUUAGAUAGUAGGCGGGGUAACGGCCCACCUAGUCUUCGAUGGAUAGGGGUUCUGAGAGGAAGGUCCCCCACAUUGGAACUGAGACACGGUCCAAACUCCUACGGGAGGCAGCAGUGAGGAAUAUUGGUCAAUGGGCGAGAGCCUGAACCAGCCAAGUAGCGUGAAGGAUGACUGCCCUAUGGGUUGUAAACUUCUUUUAUAAAGGAAUAAAGUCGGGUAUGGAUACCCGUUUGCAUGUACUUUAUGAAUAAGGAUCGGCUAACUCCGUGCCAGCAGCCGCGGUAAUACGGAGGAUCCGAGCGUUAUCCGGAUUUAUUGGGUUUAAAGGGAGUGUAGAUGGAUAUUUAAGUCAGUUGUGAAAGUUUGCGGCUCAACCGUAAAAUUGCAGUUGAUACUGGAUAUCUUGAGUGCAGUUGAGGCAGGCGGAAUUCGUGGUGUAGCGGUGAAAUGCUUAGAUAUCACGAAGAACUCCGAUUGCGAAGGCAGCCUGCU
Molecule: ribosomal RNA, 694 nt
Filed under: uncultured Bacteroidales bacterium
Lineage: Bacteria; Pseudomonadati; Bacteroidota; Bacteroidia; Bacteroidales
Description: bacterial SSU rRNA
Rfam family: Bacterial small subunit ribosomal RNA
Source: RNAcentral